AGCAGCCGCGGUAAUUCCAGCUCCAAUAGCGUAUAUUAAAGUUGUUGCAGUUAAAAAGCUCGUAGUUGAAUUUCGGGAUCAAUAUAUUGGUCGUGCCUUCGGUAUGCACUGGUAUUAUUGAUUUCUACCUUCUGACGAACUAUGAUGUCAUUAAUUUGGUGUCAUGGGGAAUCAGGACUGUUACUUUGAAAAAUUAGAGUGUUUAAAGCAGGCACACGCUUGAAUACAUUAGCAUGGAAUAAUGAAAUAGGACGUUUGACCCUAUUUUGUUGGUUUCUAGGAUCGACGUAAUGAUUAAUAGGGGUAGUUGGGGGCAUUAGUAUUCAAUUGUCAGAGGUGAAAUUCUUGGAUUUAUUGAAGACUAACUACUGCGAAAGCAUUUGCCAAGGAUGUUUUCAUUAAUCAAGAACGAAAGUUAGGGGAUCGAAGACGAUCAGAUACCGUCGUAGUCUUAACCAUAAACUAUGCCGACUAGGGAUCGGAUGAUGUUAAUUUUAAUGACUCAUUCGGUCG
Molecule: ribosomal RNA, 513 nt
Filed under: uncultured Glomeromycotina
Lineage: Eukaryota; Fungi; Glomeromycota
Description: SSU rRNA
Rfam family: Eukaryotic small subunit ribosomal RNA
Source: RNAcentral